CCGCCCGUCACAUCACGAAAGUGGAUUGUACUAGAAGUCCGUGCGCAACCGCAAGGAGGCAGCGGCCCAAGGUAUGAUUCAUGAUUGGGGUG
This 92-nucleotide ribosomal RNA is filed under the name uncultured bacterium. RNAcentral describes it as "partial 16S ribosomal RNA". The record is from RNAcentral.